RNAcentral lists this ribosomal RNA (460 nucleotides) under uncultured bacterium. RNAcentral describes it as "partial 16S ribosomal RNA". It matches the Rfam family "Bacterial small subunit ribosomal RNA", at positions 338 to 795 of the family's 1533-position model. The record is from RNAcentral.
CCUACGGGUGGCAGCAGUGAGGAAUAUUGGUCAAUGGACGAGAGUCUGAACCAGCCAAGUAGCGUGAAGGAUGACUGCCCUAUGGGUUGUAAACUUCUUUUAUAUGGGAAUAAAAUGUUCCACGUGUGGGCCUUUGUAUGUACCAUAUGAAUAAGGAUCGGCUAACUCCGUUCCCGCAGCCGCGGUAAUACGGAGGAUCCGAGCGUUAUCCGGGUUUAUUGGGUUUAAAGGGAGCGUAGGUGGAGUGUUAAGUCAGUUGUGAAAGUUUGCGGCUCAACCGUAAAAUUGCAGUUGAAACUGGCAGGCUGGAGUACAGUAGAGGUGGGCGGAAUGCGUGGUGUAGCGGUGAAAUGCUUAGAUAUCACGCAGAACUCCGAUUGCGAAGGCAGUUCACUGGACUGCAACUGACACUGAGGCUCGAAAGUGUGGGUAUCAAACAGGAUUAGAUACCCGGGUAGUC